CACGUAGGGUGCGAGCGUUGUCCGGAAUUAUUGGGCGUAAAGAGCUCGUAGGCGGUGUGUCGCGUCGGCCGUGAAACCUGCAGCUUAACUGUGGGCUUGCGGUCGAUACGGGCAUCACCGGAGUUCGGCAGGGGAGACUGGAAUUCCUGGUGUAGCGGUGAAAUGCGCAGAUAUCAGGAGGAACACCGGUGGCGAAGGCGGGUCUCUGGGCCGAUACUGACGCUGAGGAGCGAAAGCGUGGGGAGCAAACAGG
This 253-nucleotide ribosomal RNA is filed under the name uncultured bacterium. RNAcentral's name for it is "partial 16S ribosomal RNA". It matches the Rfam family "Bacterial small subunit ribosomal RNA", at positions 524 to 776 of the family's 1533-position model. The record is from RNAcentral.